UUAGAAAGCUCGUAGUUGGAUUUCGGUUAAGAGCGACCGGUCCGCCGUUUGGUGUGCACUGGUUGGUUUUAACUUCCUGUAGAGGACGUGCUCUGGGCUUAACGGUCUGGACUCGGAGUCUACGUGGUUACUUUGAAAAAAUUAGAGUGUUCAAAGCGGGCUUACGCUUGAAUAUUUCAGCAUGGAAUAACACUAUAGGACUCCUGUCCUAUUUCGUUGGUCUCGGGACGGGAGUAAUGAUUAAGAGGAACAGUUGGGGCAUUCGUAUUUCAUUGUCAGAGGUGAAAUUCUUGGAUUUAUGAAAGACGAACUUCUGCGAAAGCAUUUGCCAAGGAUGUUUUCAUUAAUCAAGAACGAAAGUUGGGGGCUCGAAGAUGAUUAGAUACCAUCCUAGUCUCAACCAUAAACGAUGCCGACUAGGGAUUGGCGGAUGUUAAUUGAUGACUCCGCCAGCACCUUAUGAGAAAUCAAAGUUUUUGGGUCCCGGGGGG
RNAcentral lists this ribosomal RNA (491 nucleotides) under uncultured marine eukaryote. Its description in RNAcentral is "SSU rRNA". It matches the Rfam family "Eukaryotic small subunit ribosomal RNA", at positions 619 to 1121 of the family's 1831-position model. The record is from RNAcentral.